RNAcentral lists this unclassified non-coding RNA (416 nucleotides) under soil metagenome. RNAcentral's name for it is "partial contains 5.8S ribosomal RNA, internal transcribed spacer 2, and large subunit ribosomal RNA". The stretch from base 1 to 120 matches the Rfam family "5.8S ribosomal RNA", at positions 35 to 154 of the family's 154-position model. The record is from RNAcentral.
GAUGAAGAACGCAGCGAAAUGCGAUAAGUAAUGUGAAUUGCAGAAUUCAGUGAAUCAUCGAAUCUUUGAACGCACCUUGCACUCCUUGGUAUUCCGAGGAGUACGCCUGUUCGAGUGUUAUGAAGCUCUCAAAACGCAAUUGGCUUAAAACCUGAUUGUUGUUUUGGAUUUGAACUUUGCCGUGUUAUAACGGCUGGUUUUAAAAGUAUUAGCUGGUACUAGAACGAAUUGGUUCUACUCAACGUGAUAAUUAUCUGAUCGUUGAGGACAUUCCUUUCACGAGGAAUGGCCAUAGUAAAUUCAAUGGACUGCUUCUAAUCUGGCUUUAAUUCUUUAUUGGAUUAACCACUUUUCAAAUCUGACCUCGAAUCAGGUGGGACUACCCGCUGAACUUAAGCAUAUCAAUAAGCGAAGGA